This 90-nucleotide non-coding RNA is filed under the name human gut metagenome. RNAcentral describes it as "SAM riboswitch (S box leader)". It matches the Rfam family "SAM riboswitch aptamer (S box leader)". Rfam says of the family: The SAM riboswitch is found upstream of a number of genes which code for proteins involved in methionine or cysteine biosynthesis in Gram-positive bacteria. The record is from RNAcentral.
CUUAUCGAGAGUGGCGGAGGGACCGGCCCUAUGAAGCCCGACAACCUGCGAAUGCAAGGUGCCAAUUCCGGCGAGUGAUCGACAGAUGAG